Molecule: ribosomal RNA, 253 nt
Filed under: uncultured bacterium
Lineage: Bacteria
Also listed under: 1 other name
Description: partial 16S ribosomal RNA
Rfam family: Bacterial small subunit ribosomal RNA
Source: RNAcentral
UACGAAGGGGGCUAGCGUUGUUCGGAAUUACUGGGCGUAAAGGGCGCGUAGGCGGUCUUGUAAGUCAGAUGUGAAAGCCCCGGGCUCAACCCGGGAAUAGCAUUUGAUACUGCGAGGCUUGAGUCCGGGAGAGGAUGGCGGAAUUCCCAGUGUAGAGGUGAAAUUCGUAGAUAUUGGGAAGAACACCGGUGGCGAAGGCGGCCAUCUGGACCGGUACUGACGCUGAGGCGCGAAAGCGUGGGGAGCAAACAGG